AUGCGGCCAUAACACAUCGAAACACUGGUUCCCGUACAAGCACAAAAGUUAAGCAGACUCGAACCUUGUCAGUAUUUAGAUGAGUGACCGGUUGGGAAUAUCAGAUGCUGUU
This is a non-coding RNA of Acanthosepion pharaonis, 112 nucleotides long. The record is from the annotation of a GenBank genome assembly. Lineage: Eukaryota; Metazoa; Mollusca; Cephalopoda; Sepiida; Sepiidae.